UCGAGCGAGAACCUGGGCUUCGGCCCUGGGGACAGCGGCGAACGGGUGAGUAACACGUGGGUAAUCUGCCCUUGACAUCGGGAUAGCCCGGGGAAACCCGGAUUAAUACCGAAUAGCCUCCGGAGCCUUCGGGCGCCGGAGAAAAGGUAGCUUCGGCCUCUGGUCAAGGAUGAGCCCGCGGCGGAUUAGCUUGUUGGCGGGGUAACGGCCCACCAAGGCGACGAUCCGUAGCUGGUCUGAGAGGACGAUCAGCCACACUGGGACUGAGACACGGCCCAGACUCCUACGGGAGGCAGCAGUGGGGAAUCUUGCGCAAAUGCGGGAAACCGUGACGCAGCGACGCCGCGUGGGGGAAGAAGGCCUUCGGGUUGUAAACCUCUUUCAGGAGGGACGAAGCUACUCGGGUUAAUAGCCCAGAGGGUGACGGUACCUCCAGAAGAAGCCCCGGCUAACUACGUGCCAGCAGCCGCGGUAAUACGUAGGGGGCAAGCGUUGUCCGGAUUUAUUGGGCGUAAAGAGCGUGUAGGCGGCUUGGUAGGUCCGCUGUGAAAACUCGAGGCUCAACCUUGAGAUGUCGGCGGAAACCACUUGGCUAGAGUCCGGAAGAGGAGAGUGGAAUUCCCGGUGUAGCGGUGAAAUGCGCAGAUAUCGGGAAGAACACCUAUGGCGAAGGCAGCUCUCUGGGACGGUACUGACGCUGAGACGCGAAAGCGUGGGGAGCGAACAGGAUUAGAUACCCUGGUAGUCCACGCCGUAAACGAUGGGUGCUAGGUGUGGGCGGUGUCGACUCCGUCCGUGCCGAAGCUAACGCAUUAAGCAC
This 820-nucleotide ribosomal RNA is filed under the name uncultured bacterium. RNAcentral's name for it is "bacterial SSU rRNA". It matches the Rfam family "Bacterial small subunit ribosomal RNA", at positions 62 to 867 of the family's 1533-position model. The record is from RNAcentral.